This is a long non-coding RNA of Maniola jurtina (meadow brown), 804 nucleotides long. RefSeq lists it as uncharacterized. NCBI's taxonomy places the organism in Eukaryota, Metazoa, Arthropoda, Insecta, Lepidoptera, Nymphalidae. The transcript is spliced from 3 exons. The record is from RefSeq and is a predicted model, not a curated record.
AAAUGCACUUCUUUAUGUGGCGGCUUUAUUUGCGAUUUUUUGGCCUUGCGUCAAAAGAGCCUUGUCAAUUGUCGGACUGUAUUUGUACUAAGUAUUGCAUUGUUUAUUGCACAGGUUUAUUUUUUUAUCUCGAUUUUUGUUAUUAAUAAUGGGAGUUGGGACACCGAUGACGCCAUUUAUGAAGACCCUGGUAUCCCUACCGGUACUGGCUAUUGACUGCUGAUCGAAGCCCUACUAUUGACCACGGAUUGAAUACGGAACCCACGACUCCCACUGAAUUGAGAUGUAUUAAUUGUGGCACCGCUGUACCUAAAUCAAAGGAGUAGACAUAAUAGCCUUGAAUUUGUAGAGGUUAUGUAAAUACAACACUGGAUUGCACUUCAAGUGGUGACAGACCACCAGUGUGCCUCUUUUGCUGGACUCUAUUUAGUGUUUCAUUAAAAAGUAAACAAAUGUUUGUUGUAUUUGGGCAUGUAAGUGAGCUAUGGCCAAACCUUGUCUUGUUCUGAGAAGAGACAUACUCAGUACUGCAUGGAUCUGAUGAAAUCUACCACCCCUGUUGGCAGAAAAGUGAUCGAUUGAGAGCACAUGCUCUUGAACCACCUCAACAAGGAUUACCAAUUAUUGUUUUACCGAACUGGAAAAGAAGACCAGAUACCUAAGGCCAUUAUUUUUUUUUAGACUAACUCACUGGAAAGAUUAUUAUUAGAUAAGAUAAGCCUUUAUUAACUGAAUUAAAUUACAUUAAUGCUAUGUACAUAUAGUAUUAUAUUUCAAACAAAUAAAUAAUAUUUUAGUUUUUGA